CCAAUUGUUGCCUCGGCGGAUCAGCCCGCUCCCGGUAAAACGGGACGGCCCGCCAGAGGACCCCUAAACUCUGUUUCUAUAUGUAACUUCUGAGUAAAACCAUAAAUAAAUCAAAACUUUCAACAACGGAUCUCUUGGUUCUGGCAUCGAUGAAGAACGCAGCAAAAUGCGAUAAGUAAUGUGAAUUGCAGAAUUCAGUGAAUCAUCGAAUCUUUGAACGCACAUUGCGCCCGCCAGUAUUCUGGCGGGCAUGCCUGUUCGAGCGUCAUUUCAACCCUCAAGCCCCCGGGUUUGGUGUUGGGGAUCGGCGAGCCCUUGCGGCAAGCCGGCCCCGAAAUCUAGUGGCGGUCUCGCUGCAGCUUCCAUUGCGUAGUAGUAAAACCCUCGCAACUGGUACGCGGCGCGGCCAAGCCGUUAAACCCCCAACUUCUGAAUGUUGACCUCGGAU
Molecule: ribosomal RNA, 448 nt
Filed under: Fusarium oxysporum f. sp. lycopersici
Lineage: Eukaryota; Fungi; Ascomycota; Sordariomycetes; Hypocreales; Nectriaceae
Description: eukaryotic LSU rRNA
Rfam family: 5.8S ribosomal RNA (bases 115-268)
Source: RNAcentral